AUUGAACGCUGGCGGCAGGCUUAACACAUGCAAGUCGAGCGGGGGAAGGUAGCUUGCUACCGGACCUAGCGGCGGACGGGUGAGUAAUGCUUAGGAAUCUGCCUAUUAGUGGGGGACAACAUCUCGAAAGGAUGCUAAUACCGCAUACGUCCUACGGGAGAAAGCAGGGGAUCUUCGGACCUUGCGCUAAUAGAUGAGCCUAAGUCGGAUUAGCUAGUUGGUGGGGUAAAGGCCUACCAAGGCGACGAUCUGUAGCGGGUCUGAGAGAAUGAUCCGCGAAACUGGGACUGAGACACGGCCCAGACUCCGACGGGAGGCAGCAGUGGGGAAUAUUGGACAAUGGGGGGAACCCUGAUCCAGCCAUGCCGCGUGUGUGAAGAAGGCCUUAUGGUUGUAAAGCACUUUAAGCGAGGAGGAGGCUACUUUAGUUAAUACCUAGAGAUAGUGGACGUUACUCGCAGAAUAAGCACCGGCUAACUCUGUGCCAGCCGCCGCAGUAA
This 500-nucleotide ribosomal RNA is filed under the name uncultured bacterium. RNAcentral describes it as "partial 16S ribosomal RNA". It matches the Rfam family "Bacterial small subunit ribosomal RNA", at positions 30 to 523 of the family's 1533-position model. The record is from RNAcentral.